GACACUGUGGCCCCAUCCGAUGAUACCCCCGGACAGGGCCAAACAGGAACGAUAUAACCCCACCUACUUUGCCAAAGCACAGCCCCCACACCACUAGAGGGAUAUCUUCAACCACCAACUUACCAUCCUGAGACAAGGCCGAGUAUAGCCCACAAAGAUCUCCGCCACGGCACAACCCAAGGGUUGUGUUCUGUUCCUCUAUCUCACUCUCUGUCUAACUUGUGUUCUCUGUGUGACUUGUGUUGUCUGUCUGUGGUUUAGGGUGUCAUUAUCUCCACCUCCACAACGGGGAGUGCCAGACUUUUCUGGAUAGUGUCUUAUUUAUAAACCUCUGAUAAACAGGGUGAGUCUUCUGGUCUCAUUCACUUUGUUUUAUCUCUAUCCUGUCCUCACUUCUGUUCUGACAAUCUUUCAUAUUCUCUUUCCUUCUCCUCAUUGUCUCUCCAUAUCCUCUCUUCUUUCUCUUCCCACCCCCCACUCUUCUCACUGUGUUUUCCUGUAGACUGAGUGUUGGAAAGAGGACAAUGAGAGAGAGACUGUAAAAGAGGACUGGAGUGUAGAGAUUUACCGUUUAGACAGAUGAUGCUUCUUUUCUAACCUGAGCAGGGAGGUCAGUGUGUGUUUUUGUGUGCAAGUACAUAUUCUUGUGAAAAAGUGUAUGAAAGUGACACACACCCAUUAUUUUAUUUUCUCUGUCAGAAUGUCAUCCUCUCUGUCAGAAUGUCAUCCUCUCUGUCAGAAUGUCAUCCUCUCUGUCAGAAAGUCAUCCUCUCUGUCAGAAAGUCAUCCUCUCUGUCAGAAUGUCAUCCUCUCUGUCAGAAUGUCAUCCUCUCUGUCAGAAAGUCAUCCUCUCUGUCAGAAUGUCAUCCUCUCUGUCAGAAUGUCUCCCUCUCUGUCAGAAUGUCAUCCUCUCUGUCAGAAUGUCAUCCUCUCUGUCAGAAUGUCAUCCUCUCUGUCAGAAUGUCUCCCUCUCUGUCAGAAUGUCAUCCUCUCUGUCAGAAUGUCAUCCUCUCUGUCAGAAAGUCAUCCUCUCUGUCAGAAUGUCAUCCUCUCUGUCAGAAUGUCUCCCUCUCUGUCAGAAUGUCAUCCUCUCUGUCAGAAUGUCACCCUCUCUGUCAGAAUGUCUCCCUCUCUGUCAGAAUGUCUCCCUCUCUGUCAGAAUGUCAUCCUCUCUGUCAGAAUGUCUCCCCCUCUGUCAGUGACUCUGUAGUGGGUUGUUGUUGAAUGCCCAGGCAGGGGUUUCACGCAUCCCAAAAAUCUGAGGGGGCACAAAGUAGGGGGUAGUCCAGAGGGGGGUUAAAUUGGAGAAUAUUGUAUUUAAAAAUACAUUAUGUAUAUUCUGCAUAUCUAAGCAUACCUCUUGAGCUGCCUGUAUCCUCCUGACUGGUGGAAUGUGAGUUUUGAGUAUAUUUAGCUAUUGCUUGCUUUUCUGAAGUAUACAAACAUUGCCAGCCAGCAUGCCAGAUAAGAUCAUUAGACAAGCUAGCUACUCUAAUUUGAUUGAUGGGCUGAAAUGGCUUGUCGGUAGCUGCUUUUAGCAACGCUAGGAAUUACACAUUUAUAUAGCAUUUCUUGGAAUUAGAUUGCAAAAAAAACAUAAUAGUUCCCCUGGAUGCGAGAAGUUACAAUUACAUUUCAAUUUACUCUGUUGAUUGUCUUUAGGCUUGCUCCUUAUGGGAACUUGAGACAAAAACAUCUAAUGGAACAUAUAAUUAAACAAAAUUUUGAAGACCCAUACAGUUUCUCUUGCUUUUUUUGCAGGUAUGGCGCAUUGGCAGGACUUUUAUUUUAACAUGAGGUAAGAGGAGAAGAAGUGGGUCUACAAAUCAAAUAAAAAUAGAAUCAAAUGUUAUUUGUCACAUGCUUCGUAAAUACAGGUGUAGACUAACAGUGAAAUACCUACUUAUGGGUCAUUUCCCAACAAUGCAGAGUUAAAGAUAAAAAAUAUAAAUAGUAACACAAAUAAUAAAUUUAUAAUGAAUAACAAUAACAAGUAAAAACAACAUGGCUAUAUACAGGAAGUACCUGUACUGAGUCGAUGUGCAGGGGUACGAGGUAAUAACAUGGCUAUAUACAGUGAGUACCAGUACUGAGUCGAUGUGCAGGGGUACGAGGUAAUAACAUGGCUAUAUACAGUGAGUACCAGUACUGAGUCGAUGUGCAGGGGUACGAGGUAAUAACAUGGCUAUAUACAGUGAGUACCAGUACUGAGUCGAUGUGCAGGGGUACGAGGUAAUAACAUGGUUAUAUACUGGGAGUACCAGUACUGAGUCGAUGUGCAGGGGUACGAGGUAAUAACAUGGCUAUAUACAGUGAGUACCAGUACUGAGUCGAUGUGCAGGGGUACGAGGUAAUAACAUGGCUAUAUACAGGGAGUACCAGUACUGAGUCGAUGUGCAGGGGUACGAGGUAAUAACAUGGCUAUAUACAGGGAGUACCAGUACUGAGUCGAUGUGCAGGGGUACGAGGUAAUAACAUGGCUAUAUACAGGGAGUACCAGUACUGAGUCGAU
Oncorhynchus keta (chum salmon) is the source of this 2512-nucleotide long non-coding RNA. RefSeq lists it as uncharacterized. Lineage: Eukaryota; Metazoa; Chordata; Actinopteri; Salmoniformes; Salmonidae. The record is from RefSeq and is a predicted model, not a curated record. The transcript is spliced from 3 exons.